GACUCCAUUCUACGCCCAUUUCUUCUUUCUUCUAGGGUUCAAACUUCAAACACUUGCUGAAUUCAUCUUCUUCAUUCACAUGCCUGUGCACCACACAUUUUCCCUCACCCCUUUCACCUCUCUUUCUUUCGCUCAGACGACCUUUUAAUUUUUAAUCGCUUCGCUUUACAUUGCCAGCAGCGGAGGAGGAGGGAUCAAUGGAGAUGGAGAUUUCAUGGUUGGGGUGAGCGCACAUUCCGCGAGUGGAGGAGGGGUGUGAUCAAUCCAUUACACUUGGUAUAGCAAUUGAUACUGUUGAGUGUUCAUUGCGAAUAUAUCCUAUGACUAUUAGAGUGGUUUGGUUUAAGUGGAACUCGCAAAUGGAUUUCCUAGAGGACAACAACUGAAGAAAUUUACUCGAUUACUCUUUCCUCGAUCAUCCUCCAGCCAAUUUCCUUUGAUUCAAUCAAAGGUUUUUCAUUUCUCUUUUUUAAAUUCUUAUUAUUGUUCUUCCUUCUUUUUGGUAUUACAAGUAUGCUAUUCAUUUGGAAAUACGGUGAAUCAUAACAUCACCCUUUAGUUUAUCAUGAUUUCAAUUAGACUAUAAUAAUCUUGGGUGCUAAAUCUAUGGUUUUGAUUUCAAAGAAGGGGAGAUUGAGAAGAUGGGUCAUCCAUGGCAGGGUGCAAGCGGCGGAGAAAGGGGGGUUGUCAAAGAUGAGGACUCACUCUGUGAUCUCAAUCUUCUCUUCCCUCCCUCCUUCUCCAGGGUCAUGUAUAGCCAAACUUCAUGCCACUAAAGUAGGAGAAUUCUAUAGUUCUUCCUCUUCUUCGCCUCAAAUUGAAGAAAAUUUGUGCAAGUUGGGAGCUAUUUACCCUUAAUUUAGUAGAGCAUUACUUUGUCAGAAUGAUAAUUAUUGUGCGUCACUGUAUUAAGCUCCUACAUUUUAAAUCUAACUUUAACUUUUGGAUUCAGCUCUCUAGAUUGUCUUUUUUUUAGUGGAAUGACUGGCAUUAUA
Lotus japonicus is the source of this 995-nucleotide long non-coding RNA. RefSeq lists it as uncharacterized. The record is from RefSeq and is a predicted model, not a curated record. NCBI's taxonomy places the organism in Eukaryota, Viridiplantae, Streptophyta, Magnoliopsida, Fabales, Fabaceae. The transcript has 3 exons.